GAUGAACGCUAGCGGCAGGCUUAAUACAUGCAAGUCGAGGGGCAGCAGCUUUAUAGCAAUAUAGAGGCUGGCGACCGGCAAACGGGUGCGGAACACGUACACAACCUUCCUUGAAUAGGGGGAUAGCCCAUAGAAAUGUGGAUUAAUACCCCGUAAUAUAGCGGUGUGGCAUCACACUGUUAUUACAGUUUCGACGGUUCGAGAUGGGUGUGCGGCUGAUUAGGUAGUUGGCGGGGUAAAGGCCCACCAAGCCUUCGAUCAGUAGCUGAUGUGAGAGCAUGAUCAGCCACACGGGCACUGAGACACGGGCCCGACUCCUACGGGAGGCAGCAGUAAGGAAUAUUGGUCAAUGGACGCAAGUCUGAACCAGCCAUGCCGCGUGAAGGAUGAAGGUCCUCUGGAUUGUAAACUUCUUUUAUAGGGGGCGAAAAAAGGUCUUUCUAGAUCACUUGACGGUACCCUAUGAAUAAGCACCGGCUAACUCC
This 485-nucleotide ribosomal RNA is filed under the name uncultured bacterium. Its description in RNAcentral is "bacterial SSU rRNA". It matches the Rfam family "Bacterial small subunit ribosomal RNA", at positions 28 to 504 of the family's 1533-position model. The record is from RNAcentral.